UACGGGGGGGGCAAGCGUUGUUCGGAAUUACUGGGCGUAAAGGGUUCGUAGGUGGCCAAUUAAGUCAGACGUGAAAUCCCUCAGCUUAACUGGGGAACUGCGUCUGAGACUGGAUGGCUUGAGUGCAGGAGAGGAACGCGGAAUUCCAGGUGUAGCGGUGAAAUGCGUAGAUAUCUGGAGGAACACCGGUGGCGAAGGCGGGUCUCUGGGCCGUAACUGACGCUGAGGAGCGAAAGCGUGGGGAGCGAACAGG
This 253-nucleotide ribosomal RNA is filed under the name uncultured bacterium. Its description in RNAcentral is "partial 16S ribosomal RNA". It matches the Rfam family "Bacterial small subunit ribosomal RNA", at positions 524 to 776 of the family's 1533-position model. The record is from RNAcentral.